GAAAAUUUAGUUAAAAGAUAACCUUAGCUUGUCAUGCUAAAAUCACCCCUAAAGGUAAUUUUCU
This 64-nucleotide transfer RNA is filed under the name Pollicipes polymerus. RNAcentral's name for it is "tRNA-Asp". The record is from RNAcentral. Lineage: Eukaryota; Metazoa; Arthropoda; Thecostraca; Pollicipedomorpha; Pollicipedidae.